GUGUCAGUGAGAGGACAGAAGAGCUCACAUCAGUUCAGCUUCAACAUCAGCCAUGUUCUCUGUAGCUCUGAUGCUGCUGCUGGCAGCUGGAUCCUGUGUGAACAGUAUUGAUCUCAUCCAGCCAGACUCAAUGGUUGUGCAGCCUGGACAGUCUUUGACCAUCACCUGUCGGCCGUCUGGUUAUUCUGUGACUGAUAGCAGCUAUGCAACAGGUUGGAUCAGACACUGUGAAGGAAAACCAAUGGACUGGAUUUUCCAUAUGUGGGGUGGUGGCAGCUUUUAUCAAAAUGAUGCUCUGAAGAACAAGUUCAGCUACAGCAGAGACACUUCUGCUGGAACAGUGACUCUAACAGGACAGAAUCUGCAGCCUGAGGACACAGCUGUUUAUUACUGUGUACGUCAACCCACAGUGACACAAACCACCAACAGACCUGCACAAAUACCCAGAGAUCAUGUGACUCAACCACAUACACAGAGGAGGUUUUAAGUUUAAUUCAAAUUAAUACAAUUUAAAAGUAAAACACAAUAAGCAUUACAACCUGUGGUGCACCAUAAAUAAAGAUACCUCAGUGUUUGUUGGUUUAAUGUUGGUCAUGAAUACCUGCCAGGGAAAAAUAUUAUACAGGUUGCAGCUUCAUUUGUUUUUCUCAUCAGCAGAAGCUGAUAAAAGCUUGCAUCAUUUCUCCUUCAGACUCAAACAUUUAGAUAUUAUAAAUAAUUUAGAAAAAUGCUGAUUUACUCUCACCA
This is a non-coding RNA of Scatophagus argus, 747 nucleotides long. The record is from the annotation of a RefSeq genome assembly. Lineage: Eukaryota; Metazoa; Chordata; Actinopteri; Scatophagidae.